Molecule: long non-coding RNA, 218 nt
Filed under: Lathyrus oleraceus (garden pea)
Lineage: Eukaryota; Viridiplantae; Streptophyta; Magnoliopsida; Fabales; Fabaceae
Description: Pisum sativum (pea) long non-coding RNA (PSAT_LNC022775)
Source: RNAcentral
UGGGAAUCACUAUAUACGACAUUCUUUUUCCUUUCAUGAUAAGAUUACCCAUUUUGGUGGCACUGGUGAUCCAAAAGGCCAAGAAACAUAAACCUUUGCCAAAGGUGAUACAACACUAGUCUCGAGCCUAAGUGUUUUACUCCCAAACAAGUAGAAAUUUAAACGAUGGAAUACAUAUCCACCAUCGCAGCGAGCGACAUACUACUUCCCCAGAUGGG